CAAAUGACUCUMGGCAAUGGAUAUCUCGGCUCUUGCAUCGAUGAAGAACGUAGUGAAAUGCGAUACUUGGUGUGAAUUGCAGAAUCUCGUGAACCAUUGAGUCUUUGAACGCAAGUUGUGCCCGAGGCCUUGUGGUCGAGGGCACGCCUGCUUGGGCGUCAUGG
Molecule: ribosomal RNA, 164 nt
Filed under: Alpinia polyantha
Lineage: Eukaryota; Viridiplantae; Streptophyta; Magnoliopsida; Zingiberales; Zingiberaceae
Description: 5.8S ribosomal RNA
Rfam family: 5.8S ribosomal RNA
About the family: 5.8S ribosomal RNA (5.8S rRNA) is a component of the large subunit of the eukaryotic ribosome.
Source: RNAcentral